AUGGAGGUUGGUGGUGCGGCGAAAGAGUUUUAGUUUUUUUGUGAGCAUUUCAUUGAGUUCGUCGAAGAAUCGGAUAUUUUCUGAGAUCUUGAUCAAGAUGGGGAGGGAUCAUGAUGGAAGCUCAUGGUGUGGUGCCAUCAAUUGCAGCACUUACAAAAAACGCAAUCCUGAGCUGAAGUUCCACAGGUUUCCUAAAGAUGCUGAAAGAUGCAAAAAAUGGGUGCAAAAUUGCAGAAGAGAGGACCUGAGAAACAAGAGUACAGAGUAUUUGUACAAGAAUGUUUA
Long non-coding RNA from Amphibalanus amphitrite, 285 nucleotides. RefSeq lists it as uncharacterized. The record is from RefSeq and is a predicted model, not a curated record. NCBI's taxonomy places the organism in Eukaryota, Metazoa, Arthropoda, Thecostraca, Balanomorpha, Balanidae. The transcript has 3 exons.